Sitophilus oryzae (rice weevil) is the source of this 517-nucleotide long non-coding RNA. RefSeq lists it as uncharacterized. The transcript has 3 exons. Lineage: Eukaryota; Metazoa; Arthropoda; Insecta; Coleoptera; Curculionidae. The record is from RefSeq and is a predicted model, not a curated record.
UUAGCAAAAUGAGGGUAAGUGCCGAACAUUGGAACUUACUGUUAAACGUUUGCGAGAACAAUCCGGAAUUAAUAACAAAUAAAUUUAAUGGUACUGAAGGAAUGCAAGUGUUUCGGUACAAUUGAAUAGUUUAGGAUAUGGUGAAAAAACCGUGGAUGGUUGGCGAAAAGUAAACGCUUACUGAUUUACUGAUUGGAAAUGCAAAACAAAAUCAAAGGCUUCUGUCAUAAAAAUGGAGCAGCAACGAACUGGCGCCCGAGUUAGGAUUUGGAAAAGUUGAAAUUCUCAAAAAUAUGGAGACUGAUGCACCAUCCACCAGUGCCAUACGAACUCCCUGUGCCCCAUUAAAUGUUGAGAUUAAUGCAGCAUCCACCAGUGCCUCACUAACCCCCAGUGUAAAAAGAAAGUUGGAAUACAAAAGCACUCAUUCAGAAAGGUGCUAUUCAGGCGAGCUCAAUCGGCGACAUCGACAGUUGAAAUAUUUGAAGGCCGUUCAUGUUUAUUGUGUGUUUAUUUC